CUGACAGGAGAGCUACCUCUGACUUUCUGAAACCUCUUAACAGCUCUGCAAUGGCUAAGCUUGGCUGAUGGUUUUGAAGGCCUGGAGUUGGCAGCCCUGAUCUGAGCCAUUCCCUUCCCCAAAGGCCUGUGAGCCAUAAAAAGACAAAAGAUAAGGCAGUAGCUGUAUGGUGGCACCGUUCCAGAUCCAAACCAGCCAGAAAAAAGUGAG
Molecule: long non-coding RNA, 210 nt
Filed under: Struthio camelus australis
Lineage: Eukaryota; Metazoa; Chordata; Aves; Struthioniformes; Struthionidae
Description: lncRNA (ENSSCUG00000002110.1)
Source: RNAcentral